UGGGGAAUUUUGGACAAUGGGCGAAAGCCUGAUCCAGCAAUGCCGCGUGUGUGAAGAAGGCCUUCGGGUUGUAAAGCACUUUUGUCCGGAAAGAAAUCCUUGGCUCUAAUACAGUCGGGGGAUGACGGUACCGGAAGAAUAAGCACCGGCUAACUACGUGCCAGCAGCCGCGGUAAUACGUAGGGUGCAAGCGUUAAUCGGAAUUACUGGGCGUAAAGCGUGCGCAGGCGGUUUGCUAAGACCGAUGUGAAAUCCCCGGGCUCAACCUGGGAACUGCAUUGGUGACUGGCAGGCUAGAGUAUGGCAGAGGGGGGUAGAAUUCCACGUGUAGCAGUGAAAUGCGUAGAGAUGUGGAGGAAUACCGAUGGCGAAGGCAGCCCCCUGGGCCAAUACUGACGCUCAUGCACGAAAGCGUGGGGGAGCAAACAGGAUUAGAUACCCUGGUAGUCCACGCCCUAAACGAUGUCAACUAGUUGUUGGGGAUUCAUUUCCUUAGUAACGUAGCUAACGCGUGAAGUUGACCGCCUGGGGAGUACGGUCGCAAGAUUAAACUCAAAUGAAUUGACGGGGUCAUAGCUGUUUCCU
RNAcentral lists this ribosomal RNA (585 nucleotides) under uncultured bacterium. Its description in RNAcentral is "partial 16S ribosomal RNA". It matches the Rfam family "Bacterial small subunit ribosomal RNA", at positions 355 to 1375 of the family's 1533-position model. The record is from RNAcentral.